RNAcentral lists this small nuclear RNA (222 nucleotides) under Dipodomys ordii (Ord's kangaroo rat). Its description in RNAcentral is "7SK RNA (ENSDORG00000022836.2)". The stretch from base 1 to 186 matches the Rfam family "7SK RNA". From Rfam's summary of the family: 7SK was discovered as an abundant small nuclear RNA in the mid-70s but a possible function has only recently been suggested. Two independent studies have found that 7SK RNA binds the CDK9/cyclin T complex (known as elongation factor P-TEFb). The record is from RNAcentral. Lineage: Eukaryota; Metazoa; Chordata; Mammalia; Rodentia; Heteromyidae.
GGAUGUUAAGGUUAUCUGGCUGCAGUGUCUGUCGUUUUAUUGAUAGGUUGAUUUGACUUAACUGCCUAGCUAGUUUUGAGUGUCCCCUUCUUCCCUCACUGUCCCCUGUGUUUCACUCCUGAACUGUGUGCUAAAAGUUGAAGACAAUGACUCUCCCUGGUCGAGGAGGAGCUGUUCUACAGCAUGUCAGUUUAUAUGUACAAUGCAUCUUGAUCACUGUCA